Anolis sagrei ordinatus is the source of this 134-nucleotide small nucleolar RNA. RefSeq annotates it as small nucleolar RNA SNORA17. NCBI's taxonomy places the organism in Eukaryota, Metazoa, Chordata, Lepidosauria, Squamata, Anolidae. The record is from RefSeq and is a predicted model, not a curated record.
UUGGCCCCUAAAGGCGUUGCAGACAUGGCCGCCAGUCUAUGUUUGUGUCAGUAGGAGGCAGAGAGGAAACAGGCUGCGUCUACGUUCCGUGUUCUGUGGCCGUGAACCCUUGGAAUGAUUAGCAGCUUGACAUC